Molecule: non-coding RNA, 223 nt
Filed under: Acidovorax sp.
Lineage: Bacteria; Pseudomonadati; Pseudomonadota; Betaproteobacteria; Burkholderiales; Comamonadaceae
Source: RNAcentral
CUAUAUAUUGCGCCUGUCGGUAUUCGCCCGCUGGCUCAGCGGGGGGAUUGAAAAGGGAAUCCGGUGCAAACCCGGAACUGCCCCGCAGCGGUAAGUGGAAGCGACCGGCCUCAACAGCACUGGACCCCAGCGUCCGGGAAGCGAGGCCCAGUAGGUGGAGUUCGGCCCCGCGCCCGAGCUCCGUGCCACGAGUCCGAAGACCUGCCGGCACACCGUCGCGAAC